AAUUAUCUAGUACGUAACUGUGAUAUAUUCUAGAUCUAAUACUCAUCGUACCCUAGUAUAUUGUACUCAUUAGUACUUCUGUAUUUGUUGAGGCAACCUUUACUUGACGUGAGCACAGCAUUCCGUCUCCGUUGCUAAAAACAGUAGUCCGGUUUUUCACUUUCCCCGCAGAAAUCUCAGAUCCAAAAAGACGCUCCAUUCAUCCUCCCUCCUAAAAAAAUAAUUAAAAAAAAGAAAAAAACCUCAAUGCUAAAUUAAAUCCGCCGCCUUCUCCGUUUCAGCUGCUUCGAAAACUCUUUGCGGCGUCUCCGCCAUCGUUUUGAGCUUCGCCGCCUCUUCCUUUUGGGGACACGGAUUAGCAAGCACAAGCUCAACAACUCAACCACUACCAUCCCAAAUUCUAUUCCGGGACAAAUCCGACAUCCUGCACUGUACUACUGUCGUGAUUUUGGUAGAGGGCAUCCUACAAGGCCCAAAGACUUAGCCGAAGUGUUAACACUGUACUGCUGUGUGAUUUUGAUUAAAUAGGCACUCACUAUAUUAUAUAUAGUUCGAAAAAUAGUCCAUGUUUUGGAAAA
Asparagus officinalis (garden asparagus) is the source of this 578-nucleotide long non-coding RNA. RefSeq lists it as uncharacterized. The record is from RefSeq and is a predicted model, not a curated record. The transcript is spliced from 2 exons. NCBI's taxonomy places the organism in Eukaryota, Viridiplantae, Streptophyta, Magnoliopsida, Asparagales, Asparagaceae.